Molecule: RNA transcript, 2085 nt
Organism: Magnolia sinica
Lineage: Eukaryota; Viridiplantae; Streptophyta; Magnoliopsida; Magnoliales; Magnoliaceae
Exons: 3
Source: RefSeq, a predicted model, not a curated record
UUGCCACUUCAUUUCAUGAUCGGUGCAACUAACAAUUGUUCAAUCAUGGACCGAUUUUGUCCAUUCACCUUAAAUUCAUUGCAUUUUCCCUGUGUUUCUUUAGUGCAUGACACGUUUCUGCCAAUGCCCCAUACUUGUUCUCAUGACUUGCUUCUCCAGGUUCGAGCCGUUUGACACAUACAUCUCUUGCAUGCAUCUGGCCUCAUCUCCAUCGAGCAAAAAUGGUAGGCUUACCCUUACAUUAAAUGUGUGAUGCCAACAUAUAUGACAUAGUUGCAAAUUUUUUUGUCUUCUCUGCAUCAUUUUAGUACACAAUUCUAGACUUUAGCAUACAAUUAGUCCAUGUUUGUAGCUUUUGGUUCUCAGCAAUGUUAUGUUCAGAGGAUCUCACCAAGUUGGGGGAUGCUGCAAAAAUAUAUUAUGUCCUGUAAUCCCAUCCAUCCGAUUGUUAGCCUACAAAUGGAUGAUUAAAAAAUAAACUAUAGACAACAUUCCACAUGUACCCGAAAGCACCUAUCUGAUAGGUGGGAUUAUGUGAUGAACAUAAUCAGUCGUCCAGAAGUUUGCCUGCCCCAUGUGUAGCUCUCUCCAUAAUCACCUUUACACACAGUGAAAGUGCCAACCAGAGAAUGCAUGGGACAUGUAGGGUGGACCACACAUUGAAAUGAAACAUCAUCUACAAAAAUCGUGAUGGUUCACUCAUCGAGUUGGUGACAUGGGUAUGUUGGAUGUGGAUGCUUAGCAUUUCUUUUUUCCUUCUUCUAAAACCAUGUAGCCAGGUUUUGUUCUUAUUUUCCCCUCAUGGUGGGGCCCAUCUUGCCCCACACUCACCUGAUUUUGCACAAUGCUGCAUAUGGAGGUGCUUUUUGGCUAGGGUGCAUGUGGUGCUUGUUAAUCUCUAGACAUCCAACAACUACAUUGCAGUCCACUGGAUGGACUGGAAAAUUGCUAGGUUUGGCCGAGUAUGGACUGAGGGGUCUCUCUUGCAGGUAUGUUGUAGUUUCUUUAAAGCUUCUUUAUGUUUUCGCAAUCCAAAAUUCUGCUUAUGAUUGUAUGAGAUGGGAGCUUGUUCUAUGGAUUUAUAAUAGAUGCUGUAUUAUCUUUCAAAAGAAUGUGGUCUCGACCCAAUUGAGGAAGUUAUGCCCAACGUGUAGUUAACAUAGUGUCCCAGUGGGAAUUAGAAGUUUAACUGGUAAUGGUAUCAUCUCUCCAUGAUGGGGGCAAUUGUAAUGGAUAGAUGAUUGAAAGGAGAAAUAAAGUCAACCAUAUAGGAUACUGAAUCUGCUAAGGCAUCUAGAAGACAGUUGAAAGAAACAAUCUACUCAAUGCUGUUUGAUAUGAAUGUUCCUACUAUUUGGGCCAUUAAUCAGGUAGGAGCAGUAUCUAAAGAAUUGUGCAGAGUGUAUAAGCACUUUAUUUGUCUGUGUGUCUGUAAAAUCAGGUUGCUUGUUUUGAAAACCAGUUACUUCCAUUUUCUAUUUUUUUAAGACUGAGAAUUUAUUCCUCAUUGUGGUAAGCGUCACGAACAAGCUGGAGAACAAGGUUUCAUGUCUGGAAGAAGAGAAUGAAAGGCUCAAGAAGCAGAAGGUUUUGGAUGCUUCCUAGUACAUGCCUGACGAGCAGCGAAAUCCACUUCAAGAAUAUCAAGAGAUGACUUUUGAUUGCUUUUUCUUUCUAAACUUUUUCACGCUUGGUGUGUUUUUCUUACUGGUUUUCUUUUACAAGGCCAAUUUUUGUUUCCUCUAUUGCUUAUGAUUUGCAAUACCUGCCGGCAAGCAAUUGAGUAGGGGUUGUAUUGUGGUGCUUGUAAGCCUUGUAACACCGUAUAGUUUGAUACAAUGACAAUUUAUUAAUGUGAUUGAAGUUCCAAUUGAAGGCAAAUCAUUAAGAAAAAAGGAAAUGAAAAAAGAAAGAAAAGAGAAGAAAAGUUCCAACUGCAAGCUUGCCAAGUUUUUUUUUUUUGUUAAUGUUGGUAUAAUGAUAUUUGAUUAGCAAGUAUAUUUUACAAUAUUUACUGGACAUGUAUAUAGUAACCACCACAUAUUAUCCUGUUGCAUAUUGAAGCAUGUGUUACAGAUAGCUAGC